This 516-nucleotide ribosomal RNA is filed under the name uncultured bacterium. RNAcentral's name for it is "bacterial SSU rRNA". It matches the Rfam family "Bacterial small subunit ribosomal RNA", at positions 8 to 526 of the family's 1533-position model. The record is from RNAcentral.
AGAGUUUGAUCCUGGCUCAGAAUUAACGCUGGCGGCGUGCCUAACACAUGCAAGUCGAGCGGGAAAGGGGUUCGCCCCGAGUACAGCGGCAGACGGGUGAGUAACGCGUAGGAAUCUACCUUUUGGUGAAGAAUACCCUCGAGAAAUCGGGGUUAAUACUGCAUACGUCCUUCGGGAGAAAGAUGGCCUCUUUGCUGUCGCCAAAAGAUGAGCCUGCGUACUAUUAGCUAGUUGGUGGGGUAAUGGCCUACCAAGGCAAUGAUGGUUAGCCGGCCUGAGAGGGUGUACGGCCACACUGGAACUUAGACACGGUCCAGACUCCUACGGGAGGCAGCAGUGAGGAAUAUUGCGCAAUGGGCGAAAGCCUGACGCAGCGACGCCGCGUGGAGGAUGAAGGUCUUCGGAUUGUAAACUUCUGUUAAGUGGGAAGAAAUAGCCACGAGUAAUAUGCGUGGAAGAUGACGGUACCAUUAGAGAAAGCACCGGCUAACUUCGUGCCAGCCGCCGCGGUAAUUC